CCCACAGCCCGCUGGUCAGAUGCCCGGAUGUUCUCUGCUGGAACACACCUCGGGCAGGGUGCAGCCUGGACCCAAUAGGCAGGGGAGCCGUGGAAACUGAUCUUGGGAAACUGACCUUGGAUUGACCCUCACAGUAAGCUCGGAGGAAUGUGCUGGGAGUUUCCCAUUACUUGCACCUGCUCAGGAGGAGUGCCCGAGCCUGGAGUCUUCAGUGCGGCGGGGCUGAGCCAGCAAGACAGACGUCAGAGGAAGGGCCGAGGAAGCUUCUGGAAUGAAACUGGAGGGAGCCCUGACCCUGUCCGUUGCUAUCUCUGACAUCUGAAAGCCAAGAGCAACCUGAAUGAUCAACCUCUUAGCACUGCACCUUGUACACAAGAGACAGACCUAUGAGCAGCAUUUGGCUGGUCGUUUACGAUGAUGGAAUCUCAGCAGGAAACACCAUUUGUUUUCCUUCUUAUUAUUCUAAAGCUAGAAACUGAUGGGCCAUGCUGUUCUGGCCUGGAAGCCACAGACCCGGAGCAAUUUCCGACUCAGGACUCUUAGUAGCAUGGUAUGUUAGAAGCUGCCAAGGAGCGUUACGAGGCAGUGUGGUCUGUUGGACAGAGCACGCAUUGACCAUCUGGACACCUUCUCUUUCGCAUGGGAUAUGCAUGGUCUCCUGUGCUGCCCAGUCCCAACAGAUAAGGCCACAAGCUGGUGGGGGAGGGGACACUGUGGGAAGCCAGCUCCUCCUAUGAUAUCCUUCUGGCGCCUGACCCGUCUGCCCAGCUACUGACCACUGCAACCAGCAUCAGGUUCGGUUAAAUAUGGACCUUCAAAAAAUGACACCUGGGUCUUUUGAAAUGUGUGGGGAUAUCAUGACUCACGUGCUUCAGAACAUUAAACGCCUGUCACUCGUA
Phacochoerus africanus (Common warthog) is the source of this 899-nucleotide long non-coding RNA. RefSeq lists it as uncharacterized. Lineage: Eukaryota; Metazoa; Chordata; Mammalia; Artiodactyla; Suidae. The record is from RefSeq and is a predicted model, not a curated record. The transcript has 2 exons.